CGGCUGAGUAACACGUGGAGAACCUGCCCCCUCCCCCGGGAUAGCCGCCCGAAAGGACGGGUAAUACCGGAUACCCCGGGGUGCCGCAUGGCACCCCGGCUAAAGCCCCGACGGGAGGGGAUGGCUCCGCGGCCCAUCAGGUAGACGGCGGGGUGACGGCCCACCGUGCCGACAACGGGUAGCCGGGUUGAGAGACCGACCGGCCAGAUUGGGACUGAGACACGGCCCAGACUCCUACGGGAGGCAGCAGUGGGGAAUCUUGCGCAAUGGGGGGAACCCUGACGCAGCGACGCCGCGUGCGGGACGGAGGCCUUCGGGUCGUAAACCGCUUUCAGCAGGGAAGAGUCAAGACUGUACCUGCAGAAGAAGCCCCGGCUAACUACGUGCCAGCAGCCGCGGUAAUACGUAGGGGGCGAGCGUUAUCCGGAUUCAUUGGGCGUAAAGCGCGCGUAGGCGGCCCGGCAGGCCGGGGGUCGAAGCGGGGGGCUCAACCCCCCGAAGCCCCCGGAACCUCCGCGGCUUGGGUCCGGUAGGGGAGGGUGGAACACCCGGUGUAGCGGUGGAAUGCGCAGAUAUCGGGUGGAACACCGGUGGCGAAGGCGGCCCUCUGGGCCGAGACCGACGCUGAGGCGCGAAAGCUG
RNAcentral lists this ribosomal RNA (641 nucleotides) under uncultured bacterium. RNAcentral's name for it is "bacterial SSU rRNA". It matches the Rfam family "Bacterial small subunit ribosomal RNA", at positions 103 to 762 of the family's 1533-position model. The record is from RNAcentral.